CCUACGGGUGGCAGCAGUGAGGAAUAUUGGUCAAUGGCCGGAAGACUGAACCAGCCAAGCCGCGUGAAGGACGAAGGUACCAAGCAUCUUAAACUUCUUUUGUCAGGGAACAAAAUCAGGCUCGAGAGCCUGACCGAGUGUACUUGAAGAAAAAGCAUCGGCUAACUCCGUGCCAGCAGCCGCGGUAAUACGGAGGAUGCGAGCGUUAUCCGGAUUUAUUGGGUUUAAAGGGUGCGCAGGCGGACUGUUAAGUCAGCGGUAAAAGCCCGGGGCUCAACCCCGGCGCGCCGUUGAAACUGGCUGUCUGGAGUUGGAGAGAGGUAUGCGGAAGGCGCGGUGUAGCGGUGAAAUGCAUAGAUAUUGCGCAGAACUCCGAUUGCGAAGGCAGCAUGCCGGCGGCAAUCUGACGCUGAGGCACGAAAGCGUGGGUAUCGAACAGGAUUAGAUACCCGAGUAGUC
RNAcentral lists this ribosomal RNA (459 nucleotides) under uncultured bacterium. RNAcentral describes it as "partial 16S ribosomal RNA". It matches the Rfam family "Bacterial small subunit ribosomal RNA", at positions 338 to 795 of the family's 1533-position model. The record is from RNAcentral.